CCUACGGGUGGCUGCAGUGGGGAAUAUUGCACAAUGGGGGGAACCCUGAUGCAGCGACGCCGCGUGAAGGAAGAAGUAUUUCGGUAUGUAAACUUCUAUCAGCAGGGAAGAACAUGACGGUACCUGACUCAUCAGACCCGGCUAACUACGUGCCAGCAGCCGCGGUCAUACGUAGGGGGCAAGCGUUAGCCGGAUUUACUGUGUGUAAAGGGAGCGUAGGCGGAAGUGCAUGUCAGAAGUGAAAGCCCAGGGCUCAACCAUGGGACUGCUGUUGAAACUGUACAGCUAGAUUGCAGGAGAGGUAAGUGGAAUUCCUAGUGUAGCGGUGAAAUGCGUAGAUAUUAGGAGGAACACCAGUGGCGAAGGCGGCUUACUGGACUGUAAAUGACGCUGAGGCUCGAAAGCGUGGGGAGCAAACAGGAUUAGAUACCCUUGUAGUC
Molecule: ribosomal RNA, 440 nt
Filed under: uncultured bacterium
Lineage: Bacteria
Description: partial 16S ribosomal RNA
Rfam family: Bacterial small subunit ribosomal RNA
Source: RNAcentral